GAUGAACGCUGGCGGCGUGCUUAAUACAUGCAAGUCGAGCGAGCAGACGAGGCGCUUGCUCCUCCGACGUUAGCGGCGGACGGGUGUGUAACACGUGGAUAAUCUACCUAUCAGUCUGGGAUAACCUCGGGAAACCGGAGCUAAUCCCGGAUAAUCUACUGAUCCGCAUGGUUCAAUAGUGAAAGACGGUUUUGCUGUCACUUAUAGAUGGAUCUGGGCCGCAUUAGCUAGUUGGUACGGUAAAGGCUUACCAAGGCAAGCAUGCGUAGCCGACCUGAGAGGGUGAUCGGCCACACUGGAGCGGGAACACGGACCAGGGUCCUACGGGAGGGAGCAGUAGGGUAUCUGCCGCAGUAGGCGAGAACCUGACGGAGCAACGCGGAGUGUGUGAUGAAGGUCUUCGGUUCGUAAAACUCUGUUAUUAGGGAAAAACAAAUGUGUAAGUAGCUAUGCACGUCUUGACGGUACCUGGUCAGAAAGCCACGGCUAACUACGUG
This 497-nucleotide ribosomal RNA is filed under the name uncultured bacterium. RNAcentral's name for it is "partial 16S ribosomal RNA". It matches the Rfam family "Bacterial small subunit ribosomal RNA", at positions 28 to 507 of the family's 1533-position model. The record is from RNAcentral.